CAAGCCAAAGUGAAUAAAAAGCAUGACUUAAUCGAAUGCAUUCUGGAUGAGCAGACCGCAUCCACCAGGAGAUGAGACUAUCGCUGCUACUUGAUUCGAUGGUGAGGAAGGCCCGAGUCAGAAGAUUCAUAGAUUACUCAGGAGGAGCUGCAGAGGAUCUAUCCAGAGCUACUUGAGCACCACCAGGGCCGAGUAGAUCCAGACUUGAUAGGGUCAAGUUCUUCCUCAUCAAAAAAAUUGGUGAGGACACCGCCUUCAUCAGAACAAAUCAUAGCCAUCACC
This 282-nucleotide long non-coding RNA is filed under the name Elaeis guineensis (African oil palm). RNAcentral's name for it is "long non-coding RNA (EGUI_LNC058775)". The record is from RNAcentral. Lineage: Eukaryota; Viridiplantae; Streptophyta; Magnoliopsida; Arecales; Arecaceae.